GACGAACGCUGGCGGCGUGCUUAACACAUGCAAGUCGAACGAUGAAGCCGGAGCUUGCUCUGGUGAAUUAGUGGCGAACGGGUGAGUAACACGUGAGUAACCUGCCCUUGACUCUGGGAUAACUGCGGGAAACUGUAGCUAAUACCGGAUACGACCCUCGGAGGCAUCUCCUGGGGGUGGAAAGAAUUUCGGUCAAGGAUGGACUCUGGGCCUAUCAGCUAGUUGGUGAGGUAAAGGCUCACCAAGGCGACGACGGGUAGCCGGCGUGGGAGGGUGACCGGCCACACUGGGACUGAGACACGGCCCAGAAUCCUACGGGAGGCAGCAGUGGGGAAUAUUGCACAAUGGGCGCAAGCCUGAUGCAGCAACGCCGCGUGAGGGAUGACGGCCUUCGGGUUGUAAACCUCUUUUAGCAGGGAAGAAGCGAAAGUGACGGUACCUGCAGAAAAAGCACCGGCUAACUACGUGCCAGCCGCCGCCGUAA
RNAcentral lists this ribosomal RNA (484 nucleotides) under uncultured bacterium. RNAcentral's name for it is "partial 16S ribosomal RNA". It matches the Rfam family "Bacterial small subunit ribosomal RNA", at positions 28 to 523 of the family's 1533-position model. The record is from RNAcentral.